AGUGAACGCUGGCGGUAGGCCUAACACAUGCAAGUCGAACGGCAGCACAGUAAGAGCUUGCUCUUACGGGUGGCGAGUGGCGGACGGGUGAGGAAUACAUCGGAAUCUACUUUUUCGUGGGGGAUAACGUAGGGAAACUUACGCUAAUACCGCAUGCGACCUACGGGUGAAAGCAGGGGAUCUUUGGACCUUGCGCGAUUGAAUGAGCCGAUGUCGGAUUAGCUAGUUGGCGGGGUAAAGGCCCACCAAGGCGACGAUCCGUAGCUGGUCUGAGAGGAUGAUCAGCCACACUGGAACUGAGACACGGUCCAGACUCCCACGGGAGGCAGCAGUGGGGAAUAUUGGACAAUGGGCGCAAGCCUGAUCCAGCCAUACCGCGUGGGUGAAGAAGGCCUUCGGGUUGUAAAGCCCUUUUGUUGGGAAAGAAAAGCAGCAGGUUAAUACCCCGCUGUUCUGACGGUACCCAAAGAAUAAGCACCGGCUAACUUCGUG
Molecule: ribosomal RNA, 492 nt
Filed under: uncultured bacterium
Lineage: Bacteria
Description: partial 16S ribosomal RNA
Rfam family: Bacterial small subunit ribosomal RNA
Source: RNAcentral